GGGGACGACAUGGUUUCGACGGGGGAACGAGAGUCGUAGAUAGCAUGCCGAGGUCGCUUCGCCCCUCGUAAAUAAGCGGGCAACUAAAUAUUAAAUGCAGAUGAUUAUUCAUAUGCUAUGGCUGCCUAAGAACUAGGUUAAGCCACGUUCUUGCUUUUUGAUGCCACUGCGAUUGGCAAGGGCGACGACUUUAGUGGCUGGCUUCCUUUGCCGCCUGGACUCUGGAAGUGAGAUUUACAGGCUGGCUGUAAAAUGGCCUUGUUUACCGUGCCAUGCGCAGUAAGAAUCAAACGAUAAACUAAGCAUGUAGAAUUCUGCUGCGCUUGUCCUUCGGACGCGGGUUCGAUUCCCGCCGUCUCCACUU
RNAcentral lists this transfer-messenger RNA (364 nucleotides) under bacterium. RNAcentral describes it as "QQUE01 sp020633655 Standard tmRNA". It matches the Rfam family "transfer-messenger RNA". From Rfam's summary of the family: Bacterial tmRNA, also known as 10Sa RNA or SsrA, is named for its dual tRNA and mRNA-like properties. RNAcentral also lists the same sequence under 2 other names. The record is from RNAcentral.